RNAcentral lists this long non-coding RNA (2896 nucleotides) under Salmo salar (Atlantic salmon). Its description in RNAcentral is "lncRNA (ENSSSAG00000083045.1, ENSSSAG00000105311.1)". Lineage: Eukaryota; Metazoa; Chordata; Actinopteri; Salmoniformes; Salmonidae. The record is from RNAcentral.
CAGAGAUCGAUAGAAGAAAUAAGAACUUCAAGAGGAGAGAUGGAGAAAGGAGGAAGUGAGAAGAAGAGAGGACCAGAGAACAGUUCGAAAUUGAGCGACACAAAGGAAGAGAAAAGAAAAGCAGAAACUGACAGAGGAAGAAGAGGAGGAGGAAAGAGAAAGAGAGGAGGUACAGCUAGAGAGGGACAGAGAGGUCUCUCUUUGUCACUUUCUGAGGGAGAUGAAGUCAAACAGAAGACAGUAAGCAUGGAGAAUGAUGGAAUUAAAAUAGAAGAUUUACAAGCAGAGGCAUAGGAACGGCUCAAUAUGCAUGAAGAGAAGAGGCUAGAAAUAUUGAAGGGGGAAAGAGAACGGAUAGAAGAAGAACAACAAAUCAGGAGGAAGAAGCAGGAAAGACUGUUAUCGAUGGACAGACAGCUGGAGAGGGUACAACAACAAGAGGAGCAGGAUAAAAAACUACAGAUCGAAGAGGGUACGACAACAAGAAGACCAGGAUAAAAAAACAACAGAUCAAAAUUGCAAAACAUAAAGAAACUGACAGACUUAGAGAGGCGAAGCAGGAAGAGAGAGAGGAGGAGAGAAAGAGAGCCAUUGAAGGCCACAUAGCUUUAAUCAGAGGAAGAGAGAAGAUGACAGAGGCAAAAAAGAGGCAGGAGAUGGCAGAAGAGGAAAGAAGGGAUGAGAAGUACAAGAGGGGUGAGUUAGAGAAGCCUGAAGAGGAGGAGAAGAACCCUGAAGAGAAGGAGGACGACAAGGAGGACCUCUCCCCAGCCAAUAAAAGUAUCAGAAGGAAAGCACUGGGUGAAUAGGAAGUGGGAGAAGAGGAACCUCAAAAAGGACAGAGAGAAUGUAUCAGAGAGAGGAGGAGGGAUAUGAGAUCAUCAACAGAGGACAGGGCUACCACACACAGGGCUAUCGCAGACAACCCGGAGACUAUGGCAGAGGACAGGACCAAGUACAAGAAGUCUCGCUAUGACCUUCGCAGAAUCAUCCAGCAACAGCACAAUAUAGUAAUAAGGUGGAAUCAUAUCAGACAGGCUCCACCGCCCGCCACAUGUGGGCAGUCCGUUAGCGAUUACAAAGGAAGACCCAGCCUUGACGACGUGUCUCUACCAGACAAACUUAAUCAAAUCAAAGUUUAUUUGUCACGUGCACCGAAUACAACAGGAGUAGACCUUACAGUGAAAUGCUUACUUACAGGCUCUAGGUAAGUAAAGAAAUAAAAAGCGACAGUAAAAAGACAGUGAAAAAUAACAGUAGCGAGGCUAUAUACAUGUAUCAUUGAUGCUGUAACGGACCCUUUGUCAUUGAUGCUGUAACGGCUCCUUCUGUUAUUGAUGCUGUAACAGACCCUUUAUCGACUUUUGUUGACUAUUUUACAGUUUUUCUCAAUUGCUAAAACACUAAAACCCAUUGGCUGAACAAAAUUUUCAGUUGCCUGGACUCAUUUAGCUAAUUAUGCAGUCUGUUGUCAGUACCUUAAACCAUUUCACAUGGUAAAACACAAUUUGCAGAUCUCACUUAGACUUCUCAGCAAAACUCUUAACAUAUUCUAAUUCUCAAAACACAUUCUGCACUCUAAUGCACAUGUCAUCCAUACUGGUAAACACAAGUGUCAACAAUCAAAUACAGAUAGAGAACACAUGUCAUUAAUUGAACACAACCACUCAAAAUUGAUUUAACCUGUUUUCAAAUGAUGCGACACAACCAAUAUAAGCCAGUUCAGAGAGCAAACAGGUUGUUGAAGGUGGGAAGGAGAAAGUCUGAGAAUGGAUAGAAGAAACAAUGUGAGAGGACGAGGACGAGUGCGUAUGCGAGGUGGGCAAUGAGGAGGAAGAGGAGGAGGAGGGCAAGAAAGAGGAAGAGGAGGAUGAAGAGGAAAAGGAAGACAAAGAGUGGAAAUAUCUGAUGAAAUUCGAGCAACAGUUAUAGACCAUGUUCUUGUCCAUGGACUGACAAUGAGGGAAGCAGGACUUAGAGUGCAACCCAAUUUGAGCCGAUUUUCUGUGUCCACCAUAGUAAGGACAUUCAGAGAAGAGAACAGAAUUGCAAGGCUGCCACAUGCAGGUGGAAGGACAGCUAUAUUCACUCGGGAGCAAGAGGCUGUUAUAGUUGGCAUGGUCCUUCAAGAUAAUGCAACACGACUCAGAGAAAUCCAGGAACGAGUGAUACAAAACACACACUUCCAGGGAAUCGACAGUGUGAGCAUUUCCACAAUUGACCGUGUCCUCCAUCGUAACAGGAUGCGAAUGAAACAAGUAUACAGAGUACCUUUUGAGUGCAACUCACCAAGGGUGAAAGAACUGCGAGCUCAGUAUGUGCAAACAAUAUUUGACUUGGAAUCCUUGGACAGACCCCAUGAGUUCAUCUUUGUCGAUGAAGCAGGCUUCAAUCUAACAAAGAGGAGAAGGAGAGGCCGAAACAUGAUUGGACAGCGGGCCAUUGUUGAAGUCCCUGGUCAACGAGGUUGCAAUGUCACAAUCUGUGCUGCUAUCAGCAACCAUGGUGUUCUACAUCACCAUGUUACACUCGGGCCAUAUAACACCUAGCACCUUCUAAGAUUUAUUGCCAAUCUAAGAGAUAUUUUAUUUGAGCAGCAGGUUCAAGAGCAGCAGGGUAAAGAGCUAAAUGAGAAUCCCAUUCCCACCUAUGUGACAGUGUGGGACAAUGUCAGUUUCCACCGAGCUGCUCAGGUAAGGGAAUGGUUUAACAUCAAUGGGCAGUUUAUGAACUUGUACCUCCCUCCAUACUCGCCUUUCCUGAAUCCGAUUGAAUCCGUUUUUCUCCUCUUGGAGAUGGAAAGUGUGUGAUAGACAACCCUACACCAGAGUAAAUCUGCUGCAAGCCAUGGAUUUAGCCUGUGGUGAUAUAGGUGAGGAAUCAUGUCAGGGCUGGA